GCAGAGGAAACCUGGGUGACCUCCAUCUGCCUUUCCCUACCGUGUUUAGAAAACAACAGAUAAGGUAACACAGUAAGGUCAAGUGCAACAGUGGUCUGAGACUGCAGUAAGGGAAAUUGAAACUAGUCAAAAACCGACCUGGACAGACAAGAUGGACAGACAAGUGCUGUGGCAUCCCUGUGGGAUACAGAAGGAUUCUGUCCACAACCUGCCCAUGAAGCCUCAGGUGCAGCAGCAAGGAUCUGAAAUACAGUGAUCAACUAACA
This is a long non-coding RNA of Corvus hawaiiensis (hawaiian crow), 266 nucleotides long. RefSeq lists it as uncharacterized. The transcript is spliced from 3 exons. NCBI's taxonomy places the organism in Eukaryota, Metazoa, Chordata, Aves, Passeriformes, Corvidae. The record is from RefSeq and is a predicted model, not a curated record.